Small nucleolar RNA from Eutrema salsugineum, 107 nucleotides. It matches the Rfam family "Plant small nucleolar RNA R71". Rfam says of the family: R71 is a member of the C/D box family of snoRNAs containing the C (UGAUGA) and D (CUGA) box motifs. Multiple nearly identical copies of this snoRNA have been identified in Arabidopsis, and it is thought to function as a 2'-O-ribose methylation guide for 18S ribosomal RNA. The record is from Rfam. Lineage: Eukaryota; Viridiplantae; Streptophyta; Magnoliopsida; Brassicales; Brassicaceae.
AAGCCAUGGUGUGGACAUUGGUUGGUAUAGCUUCGAAAUCUCUCCCAAGCUUCACUAAAACUUUCAUUGGUGUGUUGUGUGAAGCUUGAGAUUUGAUUUCUCAGCUU